AGUAGGAGUGAGCCUGCUCGCGAUGGCGGUGUGUCAGAUGAGAAUCUUCUAUCUGACACACCGCCAUCGCGAGCAGGCUCACUCCUACA
RNAcentral lists this unclassified non-coding RNA (89 nucleotides) under Pseudomonas moraviensis. Lineage: Bacteria; Pseudomonadati; Pseudomonadota; Gammaproteobacteria; Pseudomonadales; Pseudomonadaceae. The record is from RNAcentral.